UUUUUUUACGUGAAAUAUUGUAACGCAAAUACUAAAAAUAAGUUCUGUUCUGGAGCAUGUUACACCUAUGCAAAAUUUACUUCCCUCCGUUUAUUUUCUCUUCCUGAAAGCAUAAUCUUCUGUUUCUGUGCACUUGCUAGUAAAUGAUAUAGUGAAAAUAAUUUUGUACUAAAAGAGGGAAGAAACUGUUCAUAAGAGUUCAGCUGUUCAGAAGAAACAGACUUUGUUUUCAUGAUAAAAGCUUUAUGCUUUUGCAGUCCAUGAGUUUUUUAAAAUAGCUUAUAGGAGUACUCGACAACCUUACUGAGAUAACUAGCAUCUGUGCUAAAAGCAAUCAAGGUCAAAGAAGAGACGUGGACAGAACAGGACAAAUUGGCAUCGCAUCUGUGUGUUUUCCAGGCUUUCCCAGGAAGCACUGGCAGCCCUGUAACUAGUGACAGUGAGUCCUGAUUGUUUUUGAUGAGUUACUGCUUCAGUAAUGUAUUUUUUCCUUUAACCUACAGCGUGUCAUUUUGACUUCAGUUGGAAAGAGAUUUUCCAAAAUGGAAGUCUUUGUCACUCAAAGAAAUUUUCUUUUAUGAACUUCCCAUCAGAGUGGAUCUUCAGAGGUGAUCGACUUGACAGUAGAAGUCAUCAGUAACAAGACUUUUCACUCUCUUUAAAAAGAGGGGGGAAAAAAAAAAAAAAAGUCAAUUUCCUUCCAAAGACCCAAGCACAGCCCAUCUUCCUAAAGUUGAUGGCAUCACUGGUCUUUGGUUUCUCAGUUGUAACAGUCGAGACAACGUGAAAAUGUGUUGCUCUGCGUGCUUCAGUACAGCCAAAAGCAUUAGGAAAUCUGCCAGUCCUUUUUGGUAGUCUGAGGUAUUGCAGCACUGGGGAUUUUACAAAUUGACCUGCAUUGUUUAAAGUGUAACUGCCAAAUAGCUGUAGUAUAUCAUUUAUGAGGUGUAUGUAAGCGGUUAGGUAUUUUUCUAAAUGUUUAAAAAGAGAGGCAACUGAAUGUUACGGGUUUUCUUUCCUGACGUUUUGACAGAGUGCUCUGAAGUACUUUCUUUCUGUCUGGCUUUCAAUGGUGUGUUUCCCUGGCAGUUCAGUAGCACCUCUCUUGGGCAGCGCAGCUGGCCAGGUGUUCCUCCUCAUUACGUAACGCACACAAAAACCCCUAGUCACGUUAUAACUGUGUACUUUGGAGAUAGAUAAUUUAACGGUAGGAAUUCAGAGCUGUGCAAGUUAAGGUAAUGCAAAAGGAAAACCAAAUACUUUUACAGUAUAAGUAUUCUUAUUGGAUGUAUAUAAACGUGGGCACACCCUUUGAGUGUAAAGUGAAUUAUUGAGAUUUAUUCUUUAUUUUUCAUUUUGCUCUUUGAAGUUUUCCACUUCACUUUCAGCUUUAUUCACCAAACAAGCAAGAUGCAAAGCAGCAGCAGCAGCAGCCCAAGGGCUGUAGCUGUUGCGGUGGAUCCGUAAGCAUAGAUUCUGAUUGUGUACGACCUCGUCCCGCAGCCUCCCGGGGUUCUCUCCCUGCAGCAGUGCUGUAAGGAAGGGAGGAGAUGUUUUCCAACCCCGGCAAGAGUGUUUACUUGUGUGCUAAGCAGGUGUUCAAAAUGGUAUCAAUUAGCCUAAAUGCUGAUUUUAAGCGUUCAAAUCGCUCUUAACUUUUAAAGGAGGGUGGUGUAUUUCGAGCUGACCUGUUUACCUGGAAUCCUCCUUUAGCUCAGCGACUCUCCUUGUGCACCCCCAGCCUCCGCUGGCAGGGCGGUAUGAGAAGCUGGAAGGUCCUUGACUUAGUAUAAACCCUGCUUAGCAACAACUAAAGCGUCGGUGUGUUGUCAACGUUAUUCUCGUCCUAAAUCCAAAAUGGCCCUGUACCAGCUACUCGGAAGAAAAUUAACUUUAUUCCAGCCAAAACCAGGACAACCCCAACCCCCCUGAUUCUGGGUCUGCAACAGGGGAAAAAAAAAACAAACGAAUUUGGGACUCCUGGGAAAGCCAAAUCCGCCUGGAUCUGUGCAGCUGGAAAGGAAAAAUCCCACCCCGUUUUCACGCGCAAAACCACAACCAAAAGAUCACCCCUUUUUAUGUUGUGGAAAAGCACUGAAACACACCCCAAACUGAGUAUUUUGAAAAAGCAAAAAGCUUGCCAGUUUGGGGAAGAUUGGGGGCGAAGCACAGGCAGUUUGAGGGGCAUUGCUGGGGGUCCUCCCAGUGUGGAUGAUCUGGUGUGGAUUCUCUGUUGCGCGUUAUCCCAGGUGAGUUACCUGCUGUGGAUCAUCCCGGGUGGACUCCCUGGGGUAGGUCAUCCUCGCCCGUGUCCCCCCAUCCACCUUUGUACCCUCACCUACCCUCCCCCCGUGUGUGUUUCUCCCCCAUGUGCCCCCCGUUGCUCCGGCCCGCCCCCUUCACCCACGCGAGUUUUUAACCCGUGCGAGUUGUUUCCCCCCCGCGUGCCCUGCUCUCCUAUCUCCUGCCCUCGCCCCCCCCCCCCCUUUCCCUCCUCCAUAUGCCACACCACCCCCCCCAUCAUCUGUCAGGCUCCAGACCCCUGGCAUGCUGCCUGCACCCCAUUCUCUGUCAUUUUUUUUCUUCUUUUCCUUACAAGUUGUUGCUGUUGUUUCUUUUUAAUGAUUAAACUCUUUUCGUUUCCAGCCACGAGUUUUCUCACUUUCGCCCUUCCGAUUGUCUCCCCGUCCCACUGGCGGCGGGGGAGCGAGUGAGCGGUCGCGUGGGGCUUCGUUGCCGGCUGGGGUUAGACCACGACACGAGAGGCUGCGCUGAGGGCAUGGUUGUCUCUUCCUCCCUUGGGGAUGCCGUUGACUGCAGCAGCCUCAGGCUUGCGUGGGCUGUCUCUGCCUGGCCUCCCUCUCCGCGCGGCGCGGGAGCACAAAGGGACAGGCGGGGCACUUACCGGCUGUGGGCAGGAGCUGCUGCGGCUGAAGCUGGAGAGGCCAGAGAAAGGUAGAGAAGAAGAAAUGGAAGGCCGGCCGGCCGGCAGCUGCCUCCCGCUGCAGGCAAGAGAGAGCCUGCCUCUCCGGGUGUGGAAGGAUCCCUCCUCGUAGUCCGCAGCAGGUCAGACUGCCGAGGUGCACUGCAGGGUCCGUAUGCAGCACCGACGGUGCCGUACGGCCACGUAGUGUGCGAGCGAGCGAGGCUCUGUGCCUAGGAAGCCUCGUCUUGCAAGACCUGUGAGACACGUGUUCUCCUAGGGGGAGGAGGACAGCCGUGCAGCCGGAGUUACAGCAGAGGAGGGGAGCGGGAGAGGAGCAGAAAGAAGCGUCUGAACUGGCCAAUUCUCCUGGCAGCGCCAAGAACAAGAGCUGUGGACUGGUGUUUGUCAAGGAUUAAGCCUGCCAGAGACUGGUA
RNA transcript from Aquila chrysaetos chrysaetos, 3360 nucleotides. RefSeq lists it as uncharacterized. The record is from RefSeq and is a predicted model, not a curated record. The transcript has 3 exons. Lineage: Eukaryota; Metazoa; Chordata; Aves; Accipitriformes; Accipitridae.